This 404-nucleotide ribosomal RNA is filed under the name uncultured bacterium. RNAcentral describes it as "partial 16S ribosomal RNA". It matches the Rfam family "Bacterial small subunit ribosomal RNA", at positions 28 to 526 of the family's 1533-position model. The record is from RNAcentral.
GACGAACGCUGGCGGCGUGCUUAACACAUGCAAGUCGAGCGGAGCGGCGAACGGGUGAGUAACGCGUGAGUAACUCCCCCCCUCUCUGGGAUAACAGUUGGAAACGGCUGCUAAUACCGGAUAGUGGGGGAUGACUAGCGUCCUAUUCGCUUGUUGGUGGGGUUGUGGCCUACCAAGGCGACGACGGGUAGCCGGCCUGAGAGGGCGAGCGGUCACAUUGGGCUGGGAUACAGCCCAAACUCCUACGGGGGGCAGCAGUGGGGAAUAUUGCGCGAUGGGGGAAACCCUGAUGCAGCAACGCGCGUGCGAGAUGACGGCCUUCGGGUUGUAAACCGCUUUCAGCAAUGACGCGGUAGUGGCAGAAGAAGCAACGGCUAACUACGAGCCAGCAGCCGCGGUAAUUC